RNAcentral lists this transfer RNA (68 nucleotides) under Cavia porcellus (domestic guinea pig). It matches the Rfam family "tRNA". From Rfam's summary of the family: Transfer RNA (tRNA) molecules are approximately 80 nucleotides in length. The record is from Rfam by way of RNAcentral. Lineage: Eukaryota; Metazoa; Chordata; Mammalia; Rodentia; Caviidae.
GGGGCUGUAGCUCCAUGGUAGAGCACUUGCUUGGUAUGCAGGAGGCCCCAGGUCCUCUCCCAGCACCA